UGGGGAAUUUUGGACAAUGGGGGAAACCCUGAUCCAGCCAUCCCGCGUGUGCGAUGAAGGCCUUCGGGUUGUAAAGCACUUUUGGCAGGAAAGAAACGUCAUGGGUUAAUACCCCGUGAAACUGACGGUACCGGCAGAAUAAGCACCGGCUAACUACGUGCCAGCAGCCGCGGUAAUACGUAGGGUGCAAGCGUUAAUCGGAAUUACUGGGCGUAAAGCGUGCGCAGGCGGUUCGGAAUGAAAGAUGUGAAAUCCCAGAGCUCAACUUUGGAACUGCAUUUUUAACUACCGGGAUAGGGUGUGUCAGAGGGAGGUGGAAUUCCGCGUGUAGCAGUGAAAUGCGUAGAUAUGCGGAGGAACACCGAGGGCGAAGGCAGCCUCCUGGGAUAACACUGACGCUCAUGCACGAAGGCGUGGGGAGCAAACAGG
This 429-nucleotide ribosomal RNA is filed under the name Acidobacteriota bacterium. Its description in RNAcentral is "Acidobacteria bacterium partial 16S ribosomal RNA". It matches the Rfam family "Bacterial small subunit ribosomal RNA", at positions 355 to 776 of the family's 1533-position model. The record is from RNAcentral. Lineage: Bacteria; Pseudomonadati; Acidobacteriota.